This is a long non-coding RNA of Lathyrus oleraceus (garden pea), 536 nucleotides long. RefSeq lists it as uncharacterized. The record is from RefSeq and is a predicted model, not a curated record. The transcript has 3 exons. Lineage: Eukaryota; Viridiplantae; Streptophyta; Magnoliopsida; Fabales; Fabaceae.
CCUAACCACUCACCCGAUUCCUCUCUCUUGAUCACAUUAUAACCACCCACCGAUUCUUUUGAGUGAGUAUACUUGGGGUUGAGGGGUUUUUGAACUCUGUUCAAGCUUCUACUUUAUUCAAAACAUUUUAGUGGAUUCGCAUCAAAUCUUAUGAAAUCUAACUAUACUGUGUUACUUUCUUGCAGUAGCCAGCGGAAGAAAAUAGAAUUCAAAAAGUAUAAUUUUUCUGGUUGUUAUGAUUGAGAACCCCCAUGUACUUGGAAAGGUUCCUUCAGUACUGAGUGUUAUAAAUGCAUCAGAACAUUAUGAUUAAAAUGACAGUUUCUGGAACUUUGAUUCCUUGUUCCAGCCUCAACAACAUCCGGUCCGUGAUUCACGUGUCACGUUCUCUUUGGAAGCUCCUUCAAUAGCAAAGGAAUUUCCUGAAGAUUACGUUCAUCGGGUAAAGCAAAAUCACGAAUUUGGUGGUUAUGAGUCUAGAGGGUAUGAGCUUGAGAACCUUCAUUAUACAAAGCCUAGCAUGGAGAUUUUCAGGU